Molecule: ribosomal RNA, 429 nt
Filed under: uncultured bacterium
Lineage: Bacteria
Description: bacterial SSU rRNA
Rfam family: Bacterial small subunit ribosomal RNA
Source: RNAcentral
UGGGGAAUUUUGGACAAUGGGCGAAAGCCUGAUCCAGCCAUGCCGCGUGCAGGAUGAAGGCCUUCGGGUUGUAAACUGCUUUUGUACGGAACGAAAAGACUCUUUCUAAUAAAGAGGGUCCAUGACGGUACCGUAAGAAUAAGCACCGGCUAACUACGUGCCAGCAGCCGCGGUAAUACGUAGGGUGCAAGCGUUAAUCGGAAUUACUGGGCGUAAAGCGUGCGCAGGCGGUUAUGUAAGACAGAUGUGAAAUCCCCGGGCUCAACCUGGGAACUGCAUUUGUGACUGCAUAGCUAGAGUACGGUAGAGGGGGAUGGAAUUCCGCGUGUAGCAGUGAAAUGCGUAGAUAUGCGGAGGAACACCGAUGGCGAAGGCAAUCCCCUGGACCUGUACUGACGCUCAUGCACGAAAGCGUGGGGAGCAAACAGG